Molecule: ribosomal RNA, 253 nt
Filed under: uncultured bacterium
Lineage: Bacteria
Description: partial 16S ribosomal RNA
Rfam family: Bacterial small subunit ribosomal RNA
Source: RNAcentral
UACGUAGGGUGCAAGCGUUAAUCGGAAUUACUGGGCGUAAAGCGUGCGCAGGCGGUUUUGUAAGUCUGAUUUGAAAUCCCCGGGCUCAACCUGGGAAUUGCAUUGGAGACUGCAAGGCUAGAAUCUGGCAGAGGGGGGUAGAAUUCCACGUGUAGCAGUGAAAUGCGUAGAGAUGUGGAGGAACACCGAUGGCGAAGGCAGCCCCCUGGGUCAAGAUUGACGCUCAUGCACGAAAGCGUGGGGAGCAAACAGG